Molecule: long non-coding RNA, 661 nt
Organism: Bufo gargarizans (Asiatic toad)
Lineage: Eukaryota; Metazoa; Chordata; Amphibia; Anura; Bufonidae
Exons: 3
Source: RefSeq, a predicted model, not a curated record
CUAAAGAACAGACCGGGAUCUACGCGAAGGUGAGAAGUCAGUCAUCUUUCUGCCUAUGCGCUGUAUAAAAAAGAUCACCUAUGGACCUCUAGUGAAGCCAAGAUACUCUGAAGGCAUGGACAACUACUGAUGAUUCCUCCAAUACCGAGCAGAUAAGUACUGCACAUUGACUAUCCUCCAGCCUCAGAUGCUGAAUUCCUGACCACCAUCUGUCAGAUCCUCCUCUUCUUCAGAAAGCUGAUUGUCAUCUAUUAGCACUUUUUCUCCUCCAAGAUGCUGAUAAACAUCUCAGCACCAGUCUGUCUUCUCCCGUAUGCUGACUAACAUCUCAGCACUUACAUAGUGGUGAUCAACAUCUCAGCACCUACAUAGUGCUGAUCAACAUCUCAGCACCUGUCAUCUACAGAAUGCUGACCACCUUCUCAGCACACUUUUCACCCAGAAAGCUGAUCAUCCUCUAUCAGCUCUUCUCUUCUACUGCUGAGCAUCAUCUAUACCACAUUCUCCACAAAGCUGUCCACCACCUAUCACCAUCUCCAAAAGCUGACCACCAUCUGUCAGCACCCUUCUUCAAAAGAUUUACCAUCAGCUCAGCUUUAUCUAGUGUCAUCAUUGAGGAAGCUGAGCAUAAGCUAUAAGUACCUGUUCAUACCAUCCUGCA